GAGUUUGAUCAUGGCUCAGGACGAACGCUGGCGGCGUGCUUAAUACAUGCAAGUCAACGAGAAACAGGGUGCUUGCAUCCUGUGGACAGUGGCGCACGGGUGCGUAACACGUAGGUAAUCUGCCCUUAGGACUGACAUAACUCCGGGAAACCGAAGCUAAUAUCAGAUAAUGCAGCGGCUCGGCAUCGAGACAGUUGUUAAAUCUUCGGAGCCUAAGGAUGAACCUGCGUCCCAUUAGGUAGUUGGUGAGGUAAAUGCUCACCAAGCCUGCGAUGGGUAGCUGGUCUGAGAGGAUGAUCAGCCACACUGGAACUGAGACACGGUCCAGACUCCUACGGGAGCAGCAGUAAGGAUAUUGCUCAAUGGGAGAAAUCCUGAAGCAGCGACGCCGCGUGGAGGAUGAAGGCAUAUUUGUUGUAAACUCCUGUAAGAAGGGAAAAAUGGGUCUGUUUACAGACUUUGAUUGUACCUUCAGAGUAAG
This 481-nucleotide ribosomal RNA is filed under the name uncultured Campylobacterota bacterium. RNAcentral describes it as "bacterial SSU rRNA". It matches the Rfam family "Bacterial small subunit ribosomal RNA", at positions 9 to 490 of the family's 1533-position model. Lineage: Bacteria; Pseudomonadati; Campylobacterota. The record is from RNAcentral.